This 1105-nucleotide long non-coding RNA is filed under the name Apteryx rowi (Okarito brown kiwi). RNAcentral's name for it is "lncRNA (ENSARWG00000018893.1)". Lineage: Eukaryota; Metazoa; Chordata; Aves; Apterygiformes; Apterygidae. The record is from RNAcentral.
AUAUGUGUUUGUGUAGAUGUCUAAAUAUUUUAUUUUUUUAUGGCACUCUGUAGCUCUGAAAAUAAGGCUUAUUAUCCUGCUCUGGUCCAGAAGCCCAUACAGUCAUGCUAACAAGGGACUGUCUCUCAGCAGGGGUUAUUAAAUCUGGCACAACAUGGAGCUAACUCAGUUAUAUGACUUCUGAAUCAGAACUGCACUUGGAUCCCUUUAAAAAUACCACCCCAUCUUAUUCAGCUAGAACACAAGAAGUGAAGUUAGCAACCCGUUUGUGGGUGCCCGCUGCUCCUUCGGGUAAAGAUUAUCUUCACCGCAUUGUGCUGAAUGCAGCAUCCAUGAGAAACAAUAGAGGUAACUGCUCAGCACUCUUUUCCAGUUCUACACUGAAAACGCAGAGGGAGAAUGGAAAAGAGAUGCCCUGCGAAGUCUGGUUACUGCCAUUACUAUACCUGACAAAUGAAUAAAGAGGUAGUGAGGCUUCUAAAAUAAGGUGUUUAGAUUCUAGAUGUAGGAUCAUGUUUGAUAUUUUAAAACAAAACCCACCUAUUUCUGUUUGCGCCAUGCAAGGCUGCACACAUCCUGGAAAAAUCAAUUGAAGGGCUUCUGUGUUAUGAAACAUAUAGUCGCUUUUUUUUUUAGUUAUUGCACUUAGCUUAAGGCUAUGCUUCUUGCUGACUGGCUAACCUGAAUCUGUUAAAACUGCUUUACAACUCAGAAUUCAACAGCAUUAGCAGUUUUGUUUGCACAGAAUUGUUAUUGGAAAAGCUUGUUCUGAGUCUGACUUCAAAUAUGAUUAAAGCAACUAAGAAUUUAAGUCUUCCUAUUGAUUAUUUAGCCUGAAUACAGAUUAAUAAGGAUGUAAUCCUCCGUCUUUAUGUGAAAAAAAUCAUUUGUUUUUUUGGAGGGGCCAGAAUGUAAGUUGUUCUGAGGUCUCAGUGAAGUGUAAAGAGCACUUUUGCUCACUGGAGUACUUGGUUUGAUACUGAACAAAAUCAUUCACAAUUUUAUCAGAGGAGGUUUGAAGAGACCCAUCAAAAUCUCUUUACGCAGACUGGCCCUGCAGCUUAGGAGCAGCAGAAUGCACUGCCACAGGGGAGAUCUGUCUAGG